AAGUCGUAACAAGGUUUCCGUAUGUGAACCUGCGGAAGGAUCAUUAUCGAGUUUUGACUGGGUUGUAGCUGGCCUCCCGAGGCAUGUGCACGCCCUGCUCAUCCACUCUACACCUGUGCACUUACUGUGGGCUUCAGACGUCGUGAAGCGGGCUCUUUACGGAGCUUGUAGAGCGUGUCUGUGCCUGCGUUUACCACAAACUCUAUAAAGUAUUAGAAUGUGUAUUGCGAUGUAACGCAUCUAUGUACAACUUUCAGCAACGGAUCUCUUGGCUCUC
Molecule: unclassified non-coding RNA, 277 nt
Filed under: Ganoderma lucidum
Lineage: Eukaryota; Fungi; Basidiomycota; Agaricomycetes; Polyporales; Polyporaceae
Description: partial internal transcribed spacer region
Rfam family: Eukaryotic small subunit ribosomal RNA (bases 1-46)
Source: RNAcentral